UUACAUUUAGGAAAAAUUUUUUCCAUCAUUGAUUGUGUUGGCUUAAGCCUAUGCGGACUGUCCAUUGCACAAGUAACAAUGUUUGGUCCAAGAAUACGGGCAAAUACUACAUUCAGAACAAGAAGAUCAAAGAAGAAAGAUCUCCUGUGGCUUCUGAAAAAAGAAAACUUUUCACUGUUUGCAAUGUGUAGGAUGAGUUUCAGAGAGCUGGGACUACUACAGCCAAUUGGUUACAUGAAAGGAGGCGCUUGAUGAUGAAAUGGACACCCAGAGGAAAGGCCCUGAGACAUGGAUCUCAGUGGACCCAGUUUGAGCCUUCACAGCAAACUAAAGCCAGACUACUCAUGUUCAUUUUAGGUUCUAUCGAGCAACAAAUCCUCCUUUAGUUACCAAGCCAGUUUGAGUUAGAAUUUCUGCAUAAUUAACCAAGCAAAAGAACCCUUAAUGAUGCAAGUGGCUGGAACUGGGAAUCAAAAUAUCACAACAAAUAGUUGAGUCAAAUGGUUUGCCAUUAACCAAUGCACGUCGUGGAGCAAAUCACCUCUAUAGUAGAGAAAAGCUGUCUCCUAAAAAGGAAAGUCUUUCCUUCCUACUUCAAAAAUGUAUUCCGAUGCCUCAGUAGAAGAAGAUGUACAAAACAAAAUAGCUUUUUAAGUAGUAAAUUACUGAACAACUUUAUAAGAGGUAUUAUUGAAAUCUCAGGGUGUGAGUAGAAAUAGGCAUCAUUUUUUCCCUCUUACUACUAAAAAAACGGAGGCACAAAAAAUUAGAUUGUAGAAACUUAAAUUAAUAUAUUUAAAUUGUAACUAUCCAAUAUCGUCAGCCCUCGGUCCAUGCUGGCUUAUUUUAUUUUAAUUUUUAUUAUACGUCAGCGGAAUAGGUUCUCACUUGCUAGUGAAGUGUGGAAUAAUAUUGAAAAUUAUGUUUUAUUAGUGACAGUAAUUUCUGAUUAGUUUUUGUACACACUUUCCCUCUUAAUACUCUUGUGGCCAGGGUUACACUUACAGAUUGUGAUUGCACAGACACGGCCGUCUGUUUCAAUGUUGUCAUAUCUUCAGUCACAGACAGACAUGAUUCCAAGCAGCCGCAUUUCCUUUUUACAAGGAGUAAUUCACAUUUAGGCUGUUUGAAUUACUCUUGGGGUUAGCACAUCAAGAAGGCAUUAUCCCAAGAUUAAACACUGGUAGCUGCUUGCAAAACGCUUGCAAAUACAGAAUAUUUGCUAGAUGGCUGAACAGAUGCAAUUGUGGUAUGCUAGAGAUUUAGGGAACUCUUAGGAGUGGAACAUAUUAAGAGAGGAUACUUUUUUUCUGCCGUCUGCUAGUCUUUGCUCAGAGAUAAGUUUAUUUAUUUCAAAUGGCAUCCUUCUAGAAUCUUUAUUUUACUGUGAACUAAAAUGUUGCCCCUAAUUUUUUUUACCUAUGUCUAGUGUCCUUGUUCAAUCCACUUGCCUACCUUUCAUUCCUGGCACUGAGGAGAUAUUUAUGUUGAUGGGUCUUGGAGGCCCUUAUGAAUAAUGCAAAACAAAGGUAGAACUCAGCCUGUGGAACGCAGGGACAAGUGGUCCAUCCUUAAAUAACUCAUGUAAAGACUAUAAUUGUACUUAUGGGGGACUGGUGUUGAGGCAGGGCUGAUGCCACAGCAGCUCAUUCCUAAAAUCAAGUGACAGAAGCAAGAGGAAAUCAUGACCCCUAAAACCAAAGUCUCACUGACAGUAGUGCAUGUGCUCUUCAAAAAUAAAGAUGAGAUUGUAUGUAUUCUUGUCUUUCAGAGCAAGCAAACUGCCUUUUUAAAAUUGUCUAAAUGAACACAUUGGUGUGUUGAUCAGAUGAGAGCUCAGUUAGAAAUCCAAGACCCUGGGGGCCGGUCGCAGUGACUCAUGUCUGUAAUCCCAGCACUUUGGGAGGCCAAGGUGGGAGGAUCAUGAGGUCAGGAGAUCGAGACCAUCCUGGCUAACACGGUGGAACCCCGUUUCUACUAAAAAAUACAAA
This is a long non-coding RNA of Cercocebus atys (sooty mangabey), 1991 nucleotides long. RefSeq lists it as uncharacterized. NCBI's taxonomy places the organism in Eukaryota, Metazoa, Chordata, Mammalia, Primates, Cercopithecidae. The record is from RefSeq and is a predicted model, not a curated record. The transcript is spliced from 2 exons.